GGCUUAUUGAUUAUAAUUUUAAGUCUGACCUGCCCAAUGAUGAAUAUUUAAUGGCUGCGGUAUACUGACCGUGCAAAGGUAGCAUAAUCAUUAGUUUUUUAAUUGAAAGCUUGUAUGAAAGGUUUGAUGAAAAAAUAGCUGUCUCUAUCUAAAUUAAUUAGAAUUUUAUUUUUAAGUUAAAAAGCUUAAAUAUUUAUAGAAGACGAGAAGACCCUAUAGAGUUUUAUAAUUAUUUUUUAUAAGUGAAAUUUUAGUAUUUUCUAGUUUAUAAAAAUAAUUAUUUGAUUGGGGUGAUAGAAAAAUUUAAUAAACUUUUUUUAUAUAAAUACAUUAAUUUAUGAGUGAUUGAUCCUUUAUUAAAGAUUAAAAGAUAAAAUUACCUUAGGGAUAACAGCGUAAUUUUUUUUUAGAGUUCAAAUCAAAAGAAAAGAUUGCGACCUCGAUGUUGGAUUAAAAAGAAUUGUUGGUGUAGAAGCUAAUAAAUUGGGUCUGUUCGACCUUUAAAAUUUUACAUGAUCUGAGUUUAAACCGGUGUAAG
Molecule: ribosomal RNA, 538 nt
Filed under: Cryptorhynchinae gen. sp. ARC2187
Lineage: Eukaryota; Metazoa; Arthropoda; Insecta; Coleoptera; Curculionidae
Description: partial 16S large subunit ribosomal RNA
Rfam family: Bacterial large subunit ribosomal RNA
Source: RNAcentral